CCAAUUAAAGCGGUACGUGAGCUGGGUUCAGUACGUCGUGAGACAGUACGGUCUCUAUCUACCGUGGUCGUAGGAAUCUUGCGGGGAGCUGUCCAUAGUACGAGAGGACCUGGAUGGACGAACCUCUGGCGUACCAGUUGUCCUGCCAAGGGCAUCGCUGGGUAACUAAUGUUCGGCAGCGAUAAACACUGAAAGCAUCUAAGUGUGAAGCGCACCCCAAGAUAAGGAUUCCCGCGGGUCCAG
RNAcentral lists this ribosomal RNA (243 nucleotides) under Elusimicrobia bacterium RIFCSPLOWO2_01_FULL_64_13. RNAcentral describes it as "partial 23S ribosomal RNA". It matches the Rfam family "Bacterial large subunit ribosomal RNA", at positions 2584 to 2824 of the family's 2925-position model. The record is from RNAcentral. Lineage: Bacteria; Pseudomonadati; Elusimicrobiota.